This is a small nucleolar RNA of Lineus longissimus, 217 nucleotides long. RefSeq annotates it as small nucleolar RNA U3. The transcript has a single exon. The record is from RefSeq and is a predicted model, not a curated record. NCBI's taxonomy places the organism in Eukaryota, Metazoa, Nemertea, Pilidiophora, Heteronemertea, Lineidae.
AAGAUCAUACUUUUAGGGAUCAUUUCUAUAGUAUGUAUCGCCAGGACAUCAGGUAAAACUGAUCCUGGACAACAAACCACGAUGACGAGUCAAAGUGGUCUCUCCUGAGCGUGAAGCAGGCCUUGGGUGCCGCCUUCGGGUGGCUGCCCUUGGUCAUUGAGGAUCGUUCCUUCUCCCUCACGGGGGAGUUGGAGGGAGAGAUCACAUUCAGAGUGGU